AGAUUAAGUUAUUAAGGGCGCACGGUGGAUGCCUUGGCACUAGAAGCCGACGAAGGACGUUACUAACGACGAUAUGCUUUGGGGAGCUGUAAGUAAGCUUUGAUCCAGAGAUUUCCGAAUGGGGAAACCCAGCACGAGUUAUGUCGUGUUAUCGAUAUGUGAAUACAUAGCAUAUCUGAAGGCAGACGCGGAGAACUGAAACAUCUUAGUACCCGCAGGAAGAGAAAGAAAAAUCGAUUCCCUGAGUAGCGGCGAGCGAAACGGAAGAGCCCAAACCAACGAGCUUGCUUGUUGGGGUUGUAGGACACUCUAUACGGAGUUACAAAAGAACAGACUAGACGAAUCAUCUGGAAAGAUGAAUCAAAGAAGGUAAUAAUCCUGUAGUCGAAAGUUUGUUCACUCUUGAGUGGAUCCUGAGUACGACGGAACACGAGAAAUUCCGUCGGAAUCUGGGAGGACCAUCUCCCAAGGCUAAAUACUCUCUAGUGACCGAUAGUGAACCAGUACCGUGAGGGAAAGGUGAAAAGUACCCCGGAAGGGGAGUGAAAUAGAACUUGAAACCGUGUGCUUACAAGUAGUCAGAGCCCGUUAAUGGGUGAUGGCGUGCCUUUUGUAGAAUGAACCGGCGAGUUACGAUUUGAUGCAAGGUUAAGCAGUGAAUGUGGAGCCGUAGCGAAAGCGAGUCUGAAUAGGGCGUUGAGUAUUUGGUCGUAGACCCGAAACCAGGCGAUCUACCCAUGACCAGGUUGAAGUUCAGGUAACACUGAAUGGAGGACCGAACCGACUUACGUUGAAAAGUGAGCGGAUGAGUUGUGGGUAGCGGAGAAAUUCCAAUCGAACCUGGAGAUAGCUGGUUCUCUCCGAAAUAGCUUUAGGGCUAGCCUCAAGUGAUGAUUAUUGGAGGUAGAGCACUGUUUGGACGAGGGGCCCUUAUCGGGUUACCGAAUUCAGACAAACUCCGAAUGCCAAUCAAUUUAACUUGGGAGUCAGAACGCGGGUGAUAAGGUCCGUGUUCGAAAGGGAAACAGCCCAGACCACCAGCUAAGGUCCCAAAAUAUAUGUUAAGUGGAAAAGGAUGUGGCGUUGCCCAGACAACUAGGAUGUUGGCUUAGAAGCAGCCAUCAUUUAAAGAGUGCGUAAUAGCUCACUAGUCGAGUGACACUGCGCCGAAAAUGUACCGGGGCUAAACAUAUUACCGAAGCUGUGGAUUGUCCGUAAGGACAAUGGUAGGAGAGCGUUCUAAGGGCGUUGAAGCAUGAUCGCAAGGACAUGUGGAGCGCUUAGAAGUGAGAAUGCCGGUGUGAGUAGCGAAAGACGGGUGAGAAUCCCGUCCACCGAUUGACUAAGGUUUCCAGAGGAAGGCUCGUCCGCUCUGGGUUAGUCGGGUCCUAAGCUGAGGCCGAUAGGCGUAGGCGAUGGAUAACAGGUUGAUAUUCCUGUACCACCAUUAUUCGUUUUAAGCGAUGGGGGACGCAGUAGGAUAGGCGAAGCGUACGAUUGGAUUGUACGUCCAAGCAGUGAGAUUGAGUGUUAGGCAAAUCCGGCACUCUUAAGAUUGAGCUGUGAUGGGGAGAGGAAAUUGUUUCCUCGAGUCGUUGAUUUCACACUGCCAAGAAAAGCCUCUAGCUAGAAUUGUGGUGCCCGUACCGCAAACCGACACAGGUAGUCAAGAUGAGAAUUCUAAGGUGAGCGAGCGAACUCUCGUUAAGGAACUCGGCAAAAUGACCCCGUAACUUCGGGAGAAGGGGUGCUCUUUAGGGUUAACGCCCAGGAGAGCCGCAGUGAAUAGGCCCAAGCGACUGUUUAUCAAAAACACAGGUCUCUGCUAAACCGUAAGGUGAUGUAUAGGGGCUGACGCCUGCCCGGUGCUGGAAGGUUAAGAGGAGUGGUUAGCUUCUGCGAAGCUACGAAUCGAAGCCCCAGUAAACGGCGGCCGUAACUAUAACGGUCCUAAGGUAGCGAAAUUCCUUGUCGGGUAAGUUCCGACCCGCACGAAAGGCGUAACGAUUUGGGCACUGUCUCAACGAGAGACUCGGUGAAAUCAUAGUACCUGUGAAGAUGCAGGUUACCCGCGACAGGACGGAAAGACCCCGUGGAGCUUUACUGUAGUCUGAUAUUGAAAUUCGGCACAGCUUGUACAGGAUAGGUAGGAGCCUGAGAUACGUGAGCGCUAGCUUACGUGGAGGCGUUGGUGGGAUACUACCCUCGCUGUGUUGGAUUUCUAACCCGCACCAUUUAUCAUGGUGGGAGACAGUGUCAGAUGGGCAGUUUGACUGGGGCGGUCGCCUCCUAAAGAGUAACGGAGGCGCUCAAAGGUUUCCUCAGAAUGGUUGGAAAUCAUUCAUAGAGUGUAAAGGCAUAAGGAAGCUUGACUGCGAGACUUACAAGUCGAGCAGGGUCGAAAGACGGACUUAGUGAUCCGGUGGUUCCGCAUGGAAGGGCCAUCGCUCAACGGAUAAAAGCUACCCCGGGGAUAACAGGCUUAUCUCCCCAAGAGUUCACAUCGACGGGGAGGUUUGGCACCUCGAUGUCGGCUCAUCGCAUCCUGGGGCUGUAGUCGGUCCCAAGGGUUGGGCUGUUCGCCCAUUAAAGCGGUACGCGAGCUGGGUUCAGAACGUCGUGAGACAGUUCGGUCCCUAUCCGUCGUGGGCGUAGGAAAUUUGAGAGGAGCUGUCCUUAGUACGAGAGGACCGGGAUGGACAUACCUCUGGUGUACCAGUUGUCGUGCCAACGGCAUCGCUGGGUAGCUAUGUAUGGACGGGAUAAGUGCUGAAAGCAUCUAAGCAUGAAGCCCCCUCAAGAUGAGAUUUCCCAACUUCGGUUAUAAGAUCCUCAAAGAUGAUGAGGUUAAUAGGUUCGAGGUGGAAGCAUAGCGAUAUGUGCAGCUGACGAAUACUAAUCGAUCGAAGACUUAAUCAAAUUUUA
RNAcentral lists this ribosomal RNA (2925 nucleotides) under Staphylococcus saprophyticus. Its description in RNAcentral is "23S ribosomal RNA". It matches the Rfam family "Bacterial large subunit ribosomal RNA". The record is from RNAcentral. Lineage: Bacteria; Bacillati; Bacillota; Bacilli; Caryophanales; Staphylococcaceae.